Molecule: ribosomal RNA, 238 nt
Filed under: uncultured bacterium
Lineage: Bacteria
Description: partial 16S ribosomal RNA
Rfam family: Bacterial small subunit ribosomal RNA
Source: RNAcentral
UGAGCAACCUGCCUUUCAGAGGGGGAUAACAGUUGGAAACGACUGCUAAUACCGCAUAACGCUGCGAUGGGGCAUCCCGAUGCAGCCAAAGGAGCAAUCCGCUGGAAGAUGGGCUCGCGGCCGAUUAGCUAGUUGGUGGGGCAACGGCCCACCAAGGCGACGAUCGGUAGCCGGACUGAGAGGUUGAUCGGCCACAUUGGGACUGAGACACGGCCCAGACUCCUACGGGAGGCAGCAG